UACAGAGGAGCCAAGCGUUGUCCGGAUUGACUGGGCGUAAAGCGCACGCAGGCGGUUGCGCGCGUGGGGUGUGAAAUCUGGCCGCUUAACGGCCAGGCGCCAUCCCAUACGGCGCGACUGGAGUGAUGCAGAGGUCGAUGGAAUUGCCGGUGUAGUGGUGAAAUGCGUAGAGAUCGGCAGGAACACCCAGGGGGAAACCAGUCGACUGGGCAUCUACUGACGCUGAGGUGCGAGAGCGUAGGGAGCGAACCGG
RNAcentral lists this ribosomal RNA (253 nucleotides) under uncultured bacterium. Its description in RNAcentral is "partial 16S ribosomal RNA". It matches the Rfam family "Bacterial small subunit ribosomal RNA", at positions 524 to 776 of the family's 1533-position model. The record is from RNAcentral.